This 295-nucleotide ribosomal RNA is filed under the name bacterium enrichment culture clone ALO1_GLFRUDD03FS64O. Its description in RNAcentral is "partial 16S ribosomal RNA". It matches the Rfam family "Bacterial small subunit ribosomal RNA", at positions 9 to 304 of the family's 1533-position model. The record is from RNAcentral.
GAGUUUGAUCGUGGCUCAGAUUGAACGCUGGCGGCAUGCCUUACACAUGCAAGUCGAACGGCAGCACGGGAGCUUGCUCCUGGUGGCGAGUGGCGAACGGGUGAGUAAUGCAUCGGAACGUAUCCUGGGGUGGGGGAUAACGUAGCGAAAGUUACGCUAAUACCGCAUAUUCUGUGAGCAGGAAAGCGGGGGACCUUCGGGCCUCGCGCUCUUGGAGCGGCCGAUGUCGGAUUAGCUAGUUGGUGAGGUAAAGGCUCACCAAGGCGACGAUCCGUAGCAGGUCUGAGAGGAUGAU